ACGUAGGUGGCAAGCGUUGUCCGGAUUUAUUGGGUUUAAAGGGUGCGUAGGCGGUUUUUUAAGUCAGUGGUGAAAUACGGCAGCUUAACUGUCGAGGUGCCAUUGAUACUGGGAAACUUGAGUACUGAUGAGGUAGGCGGAAUGGACGGUGUAGCGGUGAAAUGCUUAGAGAUCGUCCAGAACACCGAUAGCGAAGGCAGCUUACUAAGGAGUAACUGACGCUGAGGCACGAAAGUGUGGGGAUCAAACAGGAUUAGAUACCCUGGUAGUCCACACUGUAAACGAUGAUUACUCGAUGUUGGCGAUACACAGCCAGCGUCUUAGCAAAAGCGAUAAGUAAUCCACCUGGGGAGUACGCCGGCAACGGUG
This 369-nucleotide ribosomal RNA is filed under the name uncultured bacterium. RNAcentral describes it as "bacterial SSU rRNA". It matches the Rfam family "Bacterial small subunit ribosomal RNA", at positions 525 to 896 of the family's 1533-position model. The record is from RNAcentral.